GGGUCAGUAGGUUGGUCGUGCCACCGGUACGUACUGGUCUCACUGAUUCCUCCUUCCUGAAUAACCGUAAUGCCAUUAAUUUGGUGUUGCGGGGAAACUGGACUGUUACUUUGAAAAAAUUAGAGUGUUUAAAGCAAGCUAACGCUUGAAUACAUUAGCAUGGAAUAAUGAAAUAGGACGAUCGAUCCUAUUUUGUUGGUUUCUAGGAUUGACGUG
RNAcentral lists this ribosomal RNA (216 nucleotides) under Glomeromycotina sp. RNAcentral's name for it is "partial small subunit ribosomal RNA". The stretch from base 40 to 216 matches the Rfam family "Eukaryotic small subunit ribosomal RNA", at positions 686 to 864 of the family's 1831-position model. The record is from RNAcentral. Lineage: Eukaryota; Fungi; Glomeromycota.